UACGUAGGGGGCUAGCGUUGUCCGGAAUCAUUGGGCGUAAAGAGCGUGUAGGCGGUCCGGUAAGUCAGCUGUGAAAGUCAAGGGCUCAACCCUUGAAUGCCGGUUGAUACUGUCGGGCUAGAGUCCGGAAGAGGCGAGUGGAAUUCCCGGUGUAGCGGUGAAAUGCGUAGAUAUCAGGAGGAACACCGGUGGCGAAGGCGCACAUCUGGCCCGAUACUGACGCUGAGGCGCGAAAGCUAGGGGAGCAAACGGG
RNAcentral lists this ribosomal RNA (253 nucleotides) under uncultured bacterium. Its description in RNAcentral is "partial 16S ribosomal RNA". It matches the Rfam family "Bacterial small subunit ribosomal RNA", at positions 524 to 776 of the family's 1533-position model. The record is from RNAcentral.